Molecule: ribosomal RNA, 1332 nt
Filed under: Triticum aestivum (bread wheat)
Lineage: Eukaryota; Viridiplantae; Streptophyta; Magnoliopsida; Poales; Poaceae
Description: partial small subunit ribosomal RNA
Source: RNAcentral
AUGAAACGAGAUGUUACAGAGUUUGUGCAAGGCUGCACCGUGUGUCAGCAGGCCAAGCCGGAACACUGUCGUCAACCUGGACUUCUUCAACCUCAUGAGAUUCCCCCUCAUCCGUGGCACACUAUAAGCUGGGAUUUCGUGGAAGGGUUGCCUAAGUCAAACGGGUUUGAAGUGAUUUUGGUUGUCAUUGAUAAGCUCACCAAGUUUGCCCACUUUCUGCCGCUCAAGCACCCAUACACAGCUCACCAGGUGGCCCUCGUGUUCUUCGAUCAAGUGUACCGCCUCCAUGGCAUGCCAGCAAGGAUCAUCUCCGACCGGGAUCCGGUCUUCACAAGUACGUUCUGGCAGGAACUGUUUCGACUUUCAGAUACCAUCCUCAACAUGAGCUCAUCCCGACACCCCGAGACAGAUGGUCAGACUAAACGCCUCAAUCAGUGUCUCGAGGCUUUUCUUCGGUGUUCGAUUCAUGACAAGCCUGCCCAGUGGUCCAAAUGGUUGACAGCAGUGGAACAUUGGUACAACACAUCGUAUCACACAGCAGCGGGAUGUACUCCAUUUGAAGCAUUAUAUGGGUAUCUUCCUCGACCAUUUGGGAUAUCAGCUCCGGCGUCUACUACUGACCUCCAAGACUUGGUGGCCGAUCGGGAAGCAAUCAGAGAGCUGCUACGACAACACUUGACGCGAGCUCAAGCAAGGAUGAAACGGCAAGCGGACAAGCAUCGCACGGAACGCUCCUUCCAAGUGGGCGAUCAAGUGUUCUUGAAGGUUCAACCCUACCUCCAGAACUCCCUCGCGGCACGCCGUAACCAGAAGUUGGCGCUGAAGUUCUACGGGCCGUACCAAGUCCUCCAGCGAGUCGGUGCAGUCUCUUACAAGCUCCAGCUGCCAGCCAACUCCAGGAUCCACGACGUCAUCCAUGUUUCCCAGCUCAAGAAGCAAGUUCCUCCACGGUUCUCCGUCGAGCCGGACAUGGGCAUGGUCGAACAAAGGAGCUUGACACUACUUCAACCGGCGACGAUCUUGCAGAUGAAGCUCGUUCAGCAAGGCGGUGCGGUCAAGCCAAAGUUCAAGAUUCGCUGGAAGGAUCGCCCAGACACCCACGACACUUGGGAAGACGCAAUGGUGAUGCAUCAGUUUUCUUGUCUGACGGCUUGGGGACAAGCCGCUCCUAAAGGGAUGGGGAGUGUUAUGCAGCAGCCCAGCCCAGGAAGAAGGCCCAAGGCCUCACGACGCUCCAGGCUGCUGGACCGGGCCUGGAGGGCUGAGAAGGACAAGAGAGAAGAGACCGAAGACAAAGGGGGGCUCGCUGGAACAGAGGAGGGGGUCGACUAG